ACAAUUGGAAACAGUUGCUAAGACUGGAUAGGAAAAGUAAAGGCAUCUUUACUUUUUUAAAAGACCUUCUUUGGAGGUAUGCUUAAGGAGGGGCUUGCGACACAUUAGUUAGUUGGCAGGGUAAAGGCCUACCAAGACUAUGAUGUGUAGCUGGACUGAGAGGUUGAACAGCCACAUUGGGACUGAGACACGGCCCAAACUCCUACGGGAGGCAGCAGUAGGGAAUUUUCGGCAAUGGAGGAAACUCUGACCGAGCAACGCCGCGUGAACGAUGAAGUACCUCGGUAUGUAAAGUUCUUUUAUUAAGGAAGAAAAAAGAGUGGAAAAACUCCCUUGACGGUACUUAAUGAAUAAGCCCCGGCUAAUUAUGUGCCAGCAGCCGCGGUAAUACAUAAGGGGCGAGCGUUAUCCGGAAUUAUUGGGCGUAAAGGGUGCGUAGGCGGUUUAAUAAGUCUAUAGUUUAAUUUCAGUGCUUAACGCUGUUGUGCUAUAGAAACUGUUUUACUAGAGUGAGAUAGAGGCAAGCGGAAUUCCAUGUGUAGCGGUAAAAUGCGUAAAUAUAUGGAGGAACACCAGAGGCGUAGGCGGCUUGCUGGGUCUUUACUGACGCUGAGGCACGAAAGCGUGGGGAGCAAACAGGAUUAGAUACCCUGGUAGUCCACGCCGUAAACGAUGAGUACUAAGUGUCGGGUAAAACCGGUACUGAAGUUAACACAUUAAGUACUCCGCCUGAGUAGUACGUACGCAAGUAUGAAACUUAAAGGAAUUGACGGGACUCCGCACAAGCGGUGGAUCAUGUUGUUUAAUUCGAAGAUACACGAAAAACCUUACCAGGUCUUGACAUUUUCUUGCGAAGUUAUAGAAAUAUAAUGGAGGUUAUCAGGAAAACAGGUGGUGCAUGGUUGUCGUCAGCUCGUGUCGUGAGAUGUUAGGUUAAGUCCUAAAACGAGCGCAACCCUUGUCGUUAAUUGCCAGCAUGUAAUGAUGGGGACUUUAACGAGACUGCCAAUGAAAAAUUGGAGGAAGGUGGGGAUUACGUCAAAUCAUCAUGCCCCUUAUGAUCUGGGCUACAAACGUGAUACAAUGGUUGAUACAAAGAGUAGCUGAAACGCGAGUUCUUAGCCAAUCUCACAAAAUCAAUCUCAGUUCGGAUUGAAGUCUGCAACUCGACUUCAUGAAGUUGGAAUCGCUAGUAAUCGCGAAUCAGCAUGUCGCGGUGAAUACGUUCUCGGGGUUUGUACACACCGCCCGUCAAACCACGAAAGUUGGCAAUACCCCAAAGCGGUCGCCUAACUUCGUAAGAAGAAGGAUCCGUCUAAGGUAGGGUCGAUAAUUGGGGUUAAGUCGUAACAAGGUAUCCCUACCGGAAGGUGGGGAUGGAUCACCUCCUUUCU
This 1394-nucleotide ribosomal RNA is filed under the name Grapevine yellows phytoplasma. Its description in RNAcentral is "16S ribosomal RNA". It matches the Rfam family "Bacterial small subunit ribosomal RNA". The record is from RNAcentral. Lineage: Bacteria; Bacillati; Mycoplasmatota; Mollicutes; Acholeplasmatales; Acholeplasmataceae.